Long non-coding RNA from Ziziphus jujuba (common jujube), 1332 nucleotides. RefSeq lists it as uncharacterized. The record is from RefSeq and is a predicted model, not a curated record. NCBI's taxonomy places the organism in Eukaryota, Viridiplantae, Streptophyta, Magnoliopsida, Rosales, Rhamnaceae. The transcript has 2 exons.
GUCCUUAGAAUCCUCUACAUAAUAAUAAAUGCCUAGUUUUUCUUUUUUAGUUUCUUCCUGAAGUUCUUCUAACUGGUUCAAUGGGUUAGAUUUUUUUUUGUUUUUAUUUUUUGAGGCAUUCAAUGGGUUAGAUUAGAUAACGAAGAUAAUAACUUCCUUUAUUUAAUUAAUUCAUUUAACCAAUGCAAGAUUUUGAGUAACAAUAUAAUAUAAGCAAAAAGGUUCAUGUGCCAACUGCCCUCAGCCUCAAACCAUACAAAUAUUGACACAAAUACAUUGUAUACUUCCCAUGAAUAUCAUUCACCACUAAUGCAAUUAAAACUAUAUUUGAUAAAAUUGGAAGGAAUAUUUGGUAUAUCUUUUGUUUUCUUCAUUUGCUAAUCCUAAAAAUGCUUAAACAUUGAUUCGUUUUCUUCUACUUGAAUAAAGGGUUAAAUAUUCAUGAAAUUUUGCUAUUUAUUUAUUUAUUUACUUUGUAAUGUCAAAAGGAUAAACAAAAUCAAAUAGGCCAAAAAAAUAGUUCUAGAAACCAAACCUAACCGCCACGAGUAAGAAUUUCAUUGGUCAAACGACUUUCCCCGUAUAAAUUGGCGUCGUAGUCCGAGUCAACGAAGCAGCCAAGCGGGUCAAAAAUCUCAUGUCGUUGUGUCGUAUCCAAAACGCGUGUGAUCCUGUUUUCAAAUUUUCCUUCCUUACAAACCACUCUUACUCCACACACGGACACACCACUUACCUCUCCUUCUCUUCUCCUUCACUUUCCUGGAAAAUUCGCUGUUUGGCUGCCUCUCUUUAAUAUUAUUCUCCGAUUCCCAUCUCUACAUAAAUACCACAAACACUGCCUUCCUUUUCCUAUUCCUCCAUCCUUUUCUCAUCAACUCUCUCUGGAUCUCUGUUCCCUUUCUCAUCCCACACCUACUCCUUUGUCUCUGAAUUUCCCUCAUUUUUUCAUUAAUUUUUUUUUUUUUGAAGGAGAAAAUGAAUCCCACGAAAUCAUAUGCUCUCCCCAUUAUUGGAUGCAUGUUUUUGGCACUUUUGAAUCUGAGUUUUGGACAGAGUCUAGCUCCUUCUCCAGCACCAGAGGGUCCAAUCAGCGACGGCGCAGCAAUUGACCAAGGAAUUGCUUAUGUCCUUCUAUUGGUGGCCCUUGCAGUGACUUACCUUCUUCAUUGAUUUUCUGGACUACCCAUGAGCUUUAUUAUAUUAAAUUUAUUUGUAUUCUUUAUGCAUUUUCUCCUUCAUUUAGUAGGUGGAUUUGCAACUAUUUUCUUAUGUACAAAAAAGAUAUAAAGUUUCAAUAAACGAAAGCAUUUGGUCGAUUGCCAAAUUUUGUUA